ACACUGCCGAGGAGUCGCAUACUAGGACGAAACGGCCGUCCAGUAC
This 46-nucleotide non-coding RNA is filed under the name Schistosoma mattheei. Lineage: Eukaryota; Metazoa; Platyhelminthes; Trematoda; Strigeidida; Schistosomatidae. The record is from RNAcentral.